This 225-nucleotide long non-coding RNA is filed under the name Elaeis guineensis (African oil palm). RNAcentral's name for it is "long non-coding RNA (EGUI_LNC081832)". The record is from RNAcentral. Lineage: Eukaryota; Viridiplantae; Streptophyta; Magnoliopsida; Arecales; Arecaceae.
ACAAAAAUUGUUUUUUUUUAAUAUUUAUUUUUUGGUAGAAUAGGUUUGAAGGCAGCAAUGCUACAAGAAUGGUCCUCAAAUACUUCACAAUCAGAAGAGAUUUGAACCUAGGCGCCCUAACAGAACCAUCCGAAGAGGCUGUGUAAUACUGCAGUGCACAGGGAAAUCCUAAGAAUUGCGUUCAAGCAUAGUAGUGAAUAAAUUUGAACUUGGCACGUACUUGGC